Molecule: long non-coding RNA, 2614 nt
Filed under: Capsicum annuum
Lineage: Eukaryota; Viridiplantae; Streptophyta; Magnoliopsida; Solanales; Solanaceae
Description: long non-coding RNA (CANN_LNC020571)
Source: RNAcentral
AAUAAUGGACUCCACUUUUUAUUAUAAGUAAAAUGGGAGGGCUAAUUAUUUAAUACACACACUACACGCACAAACACACCAAAAAAAUAUCAAUCUCUCUCUCCUUUCUCUUCUCUCCCUUUUCUCUCAAAAUCAAACUGUCGCCCACCACCCCUACCACCGUCGGAGUCCGAUGAAACCUUUACCACCACGUCACCCUCUCUCCCUUCAUCUUCUCUUUUCUGUCGCAUCUUACUGGAUGUGACAACCGAUAAGCUGCCUCCGGCCACCACCAUUACUGUCGCCUCUUUUCCUUUCCCUUCCCCAUUUUCUUUUUCAUUGCUUCUUCGCCAAAAGUGAUGACCGGCAAAUCUCCCCAACGAGCAGCCACCACUAUGGCUAGUUUUCCUCACCCUUUUCUCGUGUUUCCAUCGCUGCCUCAUUGAAAUUGAUGGCCAGCAAGCUCCCAAAGCAUCACUACCGCCACUGCUUUACCAGACAUGGCCAGAUCUGGGCAAGAUUUCAUUUCUCCGGCGUGGCUUCGAUGAAUACCUUUAACGCAAUGCCACCAACAAUCUUUGUUGUCUCCGAUUUUGUUAUUUAUUUGGUUACUAUGCUUUAUUUUCUUAAAAUAGAUCUAUGCAUUUCUUGUGCUCUAACGAUUCUUGACUGAUUUUGGGUUGUCUUUCAAUAUUUUUGGUGGCCUUGAAUUUUCGAGCAUCCUCUUUGUUUUCUCUAGGUGAAACUGCUACAAGUUUGCUCAUUUUGGGUUGUUCUGUUAUUGUUUAGCCACUGUUUUGCUGCUUGUGGACUGAUUUUUCUCUCACUUUUGCUCUUUUACUGCAUUUUACAUUUUUAUUAAAUUGAUAAUGAACAAAUGUUAUAUUGGCCAAGAAAUUUUCUGUCGAUUUUUUAGGCCUUCACAAAUAAAAAGACAGAUAUUGCGUAUAUAAAUACAUAAUAAAAUAAAUAUUUCAGGUGAUGAUAAAAUUUUUAUAGCAACACAAAAGUUUUAUGAUUCGUAUCUUGGUAAGACGAUUUAGGACGGCUAAUAAAUUAAGCAACCACUUCGUAGCCAUAGUGUACCUAAAAUCUGAUCCGAGCCCACACUUUUACUAAAAAAAUUUAUUUUUUAUACAUAUAUGCACACACAUCUUCUCAUUUUUUUGAUAAUUAUUUAUUUGUUACUAAUAUUUUUAUUACAAGUGCUUAUACAGGUUAUUGAGAAUAUUUAUCGGAAAUGACAUGCAAAGAAGACUUUAAUUUUUGUGAUUCGUAUUUUUAUAUUAUUACAUUUGUAUAAAUAGCAAUUAUAGUGAAAAAUUUAUUUUUUGGGGUGUUAGGCGGGAAUGCUUUAACUUAUACUACAUUCAUCACGCGCUUAGGCAAAAUUUAGGCUGUUACUAUUUACUUGAAAGAAUUAAAUUAAUUUAGAUAUUUAAUCAAAUAAUUCCUACUUUUUUUUUACAUUAAACAUGGCUUAAUCUUUUUCUGUAAAAUAAAAUUUCGUUAUCUAAUCUUUUCAUUUUUUUCAUACAUAUUUUCAUGUACUUUCAUUUACCUUCAUGCACUUUUAUACACAUAUUUUUUCGAUAACACAAUGUAAUUUACACAUUCUUUAUACAUAGAUUGUUUAUUUUAAUAUACAUUUUAUAGUUGCAUUUAGAAACAAUGAUUUUUCUUUUCCUCUUUUAAUAAUAACCUAAGUCUGGUCGGGAACCACAUUUGUGGAUUCUGAAGGGUGUCUAAUCCCUUCCCUUCGGAAUAAUUUAAACGUUUACCUGAAAUCUAAAAUGGUUUCGUAGAUUAAAAUAAAGUCAUACUUGUUAAUAAAUAAAUAGGUUUUUUUAUUUUCCUUAAAAAUUAAGUGGCGACUCUGUACAAAUUAAUUCUUUUUAAAGUCCAUAAUAUCGUGCUCGUUUUGAGCUUAGGUAAAAAUCGGGUAUGACAGGUACAACAUCCCUAGUUGAUAUUUUAGGAAACAAAUUCUCUUGUUCAUGUCUUCAUUGGGUACGACAUUCCCUAGUCGCAUUUUAACAAUCAAAUAUCCUAAUCCUUUUCAUGCAUUCGUGAAGUAUAACAUCUCUUGAUUGCAUUAUUGAGAAAGAACCUUAUCUUAUUUUCCUACCUAAUUUAGAUUUCUAGCAUUUUCAUAUUUUUCAUUUAAGUAAUUAGUUUGGAGCUUUUCUAAGGACUCACAAAAUUUUCCUAGUGCAAACUGGGGCAAGAACUUUUGUUCGUCUUAGUUUUGUUUUCUUUGAUAUCUUGCAGGUUUUUCUGCAAAGAACAUAUGUGAAGUCUAAAUAUAAAAUCCCAUCUCCGGUUAGAGUAUAGAAGAAUGAUCAAUUUCGAAAAUAGUUACAGUCAGCUUUGCAUCCAUAGCAACCCAACAUCGCAAGAGUCAUCUUCUCAGCGUCUGAUGAUUAAGAGAAUAAGCAUCCAAGAAUAUUCUACGAACUAUUCUUUGGAGGAGUGUCAAUGACUCGAUCCAAGUUUCAAAUUCAAGUCUCAAAUCUUAACUUUAAGAUUAAAUUUGAGAUCAAGGUACCCACCAAAAGAAGGUGAUGCGAUAACUGAAGAUCCAAAAGGAAGAUUUGAAGCAAGAGAAUCAAGACAAUUAGAAUAGAUAAGAGCU